GUCAGCAUGGUGUGGUGGUUUCAGCAUUGACUAUGACUCAGUAGACCAGGGUUUGAAUCCCUGCUUGGUCACG
Phrynosoma platyrhinos (Desert horned lizard) is the source of this 73-nucleotide non-coding RNA. The record is from the annotation of a GenBank genome assembly. NCBI's taxonomy places the organism in Eukaryota, Metazoa, Chordata, Lepidosauria, Squamata, Phrynosomatidae.